Molecule: ribosomal RNA, 334 nt
Filed under: uncultured cyanobacterium
Lineage: Bacteria; Bacillati; Cyanobacteriota
Description: bacterial SSU rRNA
Rfam family: Bacterial small subunit ribosomal RNA
Source: RNAcentral
AAAGCCUGACGGAGCAAGACCGCGUGGGGGAAGAAGGCUCUUGGGUUGUAAACCCCUUUUCUCUGGGAAGAAAGUUGUGAAAGCAACCUGACGGUACCAGAGGAAUCAGCAUCGGCUAACUCCGUGCCAGCAGCCGCGGUAAGACGGAGGAUGCAAGCGUUAUCCGGAAUGAUUGGGCGUAAAGCGUCCGCAGGUGGCAGUUCAAGUCUGCUGUCAAAGACCGGGGCUUAACUUCGGAAAGGCAGUGGAAACUGAACAGCUAGAGUAUGGUAGGGGCAGAGGGAAUUCCUGGUGUAGCGGUGAAAUGCGUAGAGAUCAGGAAGAACAUCGGUGG